UCUAAUAUGGCAGAUAAGUGCAAUGGACUUAAACCCCAUAUAUAAAGUAAUUCCCUUUUAUUAGAA
Molecule: transfer RNA, 66 nt
Filed under: Gromphadorhina grandidieri
Lineage: Eukaryota; Metazoa; Arthropoda; Insecta; Blattodea; Blaberidae
Description: tRNA-Leu
Rfam family: tRNA
About the family: Transfer RNA (tRNA) molecules are approximately 80 nucleotides in length. Their secondary structure includes four short double-helical elements and three loops (D, anti-codon, and T loops).
Source: RNAcentral